Molecule: ribosomal RNA, 491 nt
Filed under: uncultured bacterium
Lineage: Bacteria
Description: partial 16S ribosomal RNA
Rfam family: Bacterial small subunit ribosomal RNA
Source: RNAcentral
AGUGAACGCUGGCGGUAGGCCUAACACAUGCAAGUCGAACGGCAGCACAGUAAGAGCUUGCUCUUACGGGUGGCGAGUGGCGGACGGGUGAGGAAUACAUCGGAAUCUACUUUUUCGUGGGGAUAACGUAGGGAAACUUACGCUAAUACCCCAUACGACCUACGGGUGAAAGCAGGGGAUCUUCGGACCUUGCGCGAUUGAAUGAGCCGAUGUCGGAUUAGCUAGUUGGCGGGGUAAAGGCCCACCAAGGCGACGAUCCGUAGCUGGUCUGAGAGGAUGAUCAGCCACACUGGAACUGAGACACGGUCCAGACUCCUACGGGAGGCAGCAGUGGGGAAUAUUGGACAAUGGGCGCAAGCCUGAUCCAGCCAUACCGCGUGGGUGAAGAAGGCCUUCGGGUUGUAAAGCCCUUUUGUUGGGAAAGAAAAGCAGCAGGUUAAUACCCCGCUGUUCUGACGGUACCCAAAGAAUAAGCACCGGCUAACUUCGUG